RNAcentral lists this ribosomal RNA (424 nucleotides) under uncultured Saccharofermentans sp. Its description in RNAcentral is "bacterial SSU rRNA". It matches the Rfam family "Bacterial small subunit ribosomal RNA", at positions 355 to 794 of the family's 1533-position model. Lineage: Bacteria; Bacillati; Bacillota; Clostridia; Eubacteriales; Oscillospiraceae. The record is from RNAcentral.
UGGGGAAUAUUGGGCAAUGGGCGAAAGCCUGACCCAGCGACGCCGCGUGAAGGAAGAAGGUCUUUGGAUUGUAAACUUCUGUUAUGGGGGACGAACACAUGACGGUACCCCAUGAGAAAGCCACGGCUAACUACGUGCCAGCAGCCGCGGUAAUACGUAGGUUGCAAGCGUUGUCCGGAUUUACUGGGUGUAAAGGGCGUGUAGGCGGAGAUGCAAGUUGGGAGUGAAAUCCCGGGGCUCAACCCCGGAACUGCUUUCAAAACUGUAUCCCUUGAGUAUCGGAGAGGCAAGCGGAAUUCCUAGUGUAGCGGUGAAAUGCGUAGAUAUUAGGAGGAACACCAGUGGCGAAGGCGGCUUGCUGGACGACAACUGACGCUGAGGCGCGAAAGCGUGGGGAGCAAACAGGAUUAGAUACCCUGGUAGU